Molecule: ribosomal RNA, 216 nt
Filed under: uncultured bacterium
Lineage: Bacteria
Description: partial 16S ribosomal RNA
Rfam family: Bacterial small subunit ribosomal RNA
Source: RNAcentral
GACGAACGCUGGCGGCGUGCUUAACACAUGCAAGUCGAGCGGUAAGGCCCUUUCGGGGGUACGACGAGCGGCGAACGGGUAGAGUAACACGUGGGUGACCUCGCCCUCCAGCUCUGGGAGUAAGCCUGGGAAACGUAGGGUCGUAAUACUGGAUAUGACUCCACGGUGCAUGUCGUGGGGUGGGAAAGCCUUGUGCGGCUGAGGAUGGGCCCGCGG